Long non-coding RNA from Hemicordylus capensis (graceful crag lizard), 178 nucleotides. RefSeq lists it as uncharacterized. NCBI's taxonomy places the organism in Eukaryota, Metazoa, Chordata, Lepidosauria, Squamata, Cordylidae. The transcript has 3 exons. The record is from RefSeq and is a predicted model, not a curated record.
UGUCAAUAACCUCUCACAGUUCAGGUUACUGAUAUAGACAGUAGGCUUGAGGAAAUUUAAUAAGAAAAGCUAACAGAAGAAGAACAGAGAUAAAAAUAACAGUGUGAAGCUAGCAGUAUUAGAGCACACCUUAGUAAUGCUAGAACCCUGAUCCCUUAGACAUUGAUAGCAAAGUUCC